RNAcentral lists this ribosomal RNA (489 nucleotides) under Lithobius maqinensis. RNAcentral's name for it is "partial large subunit ribosomal RNA". It matches the Rfam family "Bacterial large subunit ribosomal RNA", at positions 1828 to 2588 of the family's 2925-position model. The record is from RNAcentral. Lineage: Eukaryota; Metazoa; Arthropoda; Chilopoda; Lithobiomorpha; Lithobiidae.
UGUUCUUUGGUUUACGAUAAAGAAUAAGGUCUGCCCAAUGAUUAUUUUAAUGGCCGCAGUAUCUUGACUGUGCAAAGGUAGCAUAAUCAAUUGUCUUUUAAUUGGAGUCUGGUAUGAAUGAUUUGAUGGGGAUGUACUGUCUUAUUUUAGAUAGUUGAAUUUUUAAGGUAGGUGAAGAUACUUAUAUAAUAAUAAAAGACGAGAAGACCCUAUUAAGUUUUACGUGUAUAUUUUUAUUUAAUGAAAUUAUAUUAUCUUUAUUACGUUUAGUUGGGGCAAUUGUAGAAUAAGAAAAACUUCUUGUGAUGAAAAUAUUUAUUUUUAUAUUGAAAAUAUGAUCCAAGGAUUUGAUUAUUAGAAAAAAUUACUUUAGGGAUAACAGCGUAAUGUUUUCUUAGAGUUCUUAUCGAUGAAAAAGUUUGCGACCUCGAUGUUGGAUUAAGAUACCUUUUUAGUGCAGCAGUUAAUUAAGGUAGUCUGUUCGACUAU